This is a long non-coding RNA of Heterocephalus glaber (naked mole-rat), 1795 nucleotides long. NCBI's taxonomy places the organism in Eukaryota, Metazoa, Chordata, Mammalia, Rodentia, Bathyergidae. The record is from Ensembl.
CUGCUAGUGGUUUGGAACACAUUAAAGGCCAGCAGAGUGGCUUCAGGCUUGGCUGGGACCUGAGUGAUUCUCAGAGGGCCAACUUGCAGGAAUUCUGCUCAUAGCUGAAGUACAAUGACAUUGCCUGCUGCUGAAAGGGCUCAUCUGCUUAAUGCUUCUCCAACAUGUCUGCUGAAAAAGAUUUGCCGUCAGGAGCUUUAUCUCCUCACCCUUCCAGAACAACUUCUGAACAUUCCACACAGACCUUGCCAUCAAAGGGAGAGGAUAUUAACAUGAAGCUAAAAGAGGAGAGUCUGCAGGAUGAACCUCCAUUCACCAUAGAGCAAGAGUCUUUGGAGAAGGAAGAAUAUCCAGAGGAAGAAGAGUCUCUGGAGGAGGAAGAAUUUCCAGAGGAGGAAGAGUUUCUGGAGGAGGAAGAAUAUCCAGAAGAGGAAGAGUCUCUGGAGGAAGAUAUGUUUUUGGAGGGAGAAAAUUAUCUGAAAGGAAAAGAGGAUCUUUUUAAAGAAGAGGAUUUGAAGGAGAAAAUGCAUGUGGAAGAAAAAGAGUAUCCUUUUGAAAAGUAUCUGGAACAAAGUGAGUAUCUAUAAGGAAGAGAAUAUCUAGAGAAAGAAAUUUGUCUGGGAGACAGUAUCUGUACGAAGGAGAGCAUCGGAGAGUGAGGGCCCCCCAGAGGAUGGUAGCUCUAGUUCACCACAAUGCCGAGAAGAAAGAACAAAACCUGAGGCGCAGCCAACCACAGACUACUAACCCUAUCCAUGGUGCUGACAGAAUUUAAGGAGUUAUUCAACAGGAAUUCUGACUACUCUUGAUGGAAGGAGCUCAGCUGCCAGUACUUUUCAGGAAAGCAAGUCUAUUACCAUCCCGCAUAUCUUCACUACCCCUGUUCCUGCCUCUGAGCCUGCCAUGGAGUUUGCCCUGGAGUUGUCUUCCUGCUGCCUGAUGGUUCCUACGUCUUCCCUAAGACACCAGGCUAGUCAGACAGAAUGGACCUAUGAGGGAAAAUCUUCAAUAUCAAAACUGAAAACAGAUCAAGGAAUCUCAAUACUAUCCACUAUGAAGUCUGAUUUGGAAGUUGCCUCUGAAAUGGAGCAAGAUGAAGAUGAAGAUGGAGAUGAUGUGUGGGAGAGAGACCAGGCUCAACCGCAGAUGCUGCAUAGUCAAGUGGGAUUCACAGCCAAAAAACAGGGUUGAGGGUCACUGCAUGGAAAGUUACUACAAAGAAACACUGGGGCAGGGAAUUGGGGCUAAACUGACCUCCCAGAAUUUCUGUUGAAGGCAGACAUGACCUGGGGGAUGGGGGAGGCAGAAUUAACUAGGAGAAGAUUCAAGAGCCUGACUAAUGUCAGUGAAGAAUCUUUGUCACUGUAACAUAGGGAUUAUUGUAUCAACUUUACAGAGCAAAUACACAUAGAUCAAACAUUUAUCUUAAAUCCAGGAAAUAAAGUUCUGUCAAGAAAAAUACAGGAGAGACACUUGCAUAAGGAAGAAGUAAGAUUUGUUCUUAAUCAGACUAGGGAAAGAACAUUGUCAAAUUAGGGAACUAUGUGUGCCAGGAUUGACCUACAUCAACACCAGUCCUCUCUCCAAGCCUCCGUAGAGACAAAUCUUGUGCAUAUUGCACAGAUGAGAGGUUAGGACACAAGAGAAAGAGGGUGACAUAUUGGAAGUGGCCUGGGUCUCAUAAGACGCUUGCCCUGGCCUUCUCCUCCUCCAUGGGGCCAUUUCAGGAGUAGAUGAUGUUCUCACCAGAACAGAGGUAUAGCUGACUCAAAUCCCCAAAGGAACAGUAAAGCAG